AACGAACGCUGGCGGCAUGCCUAACACAUGCAAGUCGAACGAUGCCUUCGGGCAUAGUGGCGCACGGGUGCGUAACGCGUGGGAAUCUGCCCUUGGGUUCGGAAUAACUCAGAGAAAUUUGAGCUAAUACCGGAUGAUGACGUAAGUCCAAAGAUUUAUCGCCCAAGGAUGAGCCCGCGUAAGAUUAGCUAGGUGGCGGGGUAACGGCCCACCAAGGCGACGAUGUCUAGCUGGUCUGAGAGGAUGAUCAGCCACACUGGGACUGAGACACGGCCCAGACUCCUACGGGAGGCAGCAGUAGGGAAUAUUGGACAAU
Molecule: ribosomal RNA, 316 nt
Filed under: uncultured bacterium
Lineage: Bacteria
Description: bacterial SSU rRNA
Rfam family: Bacterial small subunit ribosomal RNA
Source: RNAcentral